Molecule: ribosomal RNA, 505 nt
Filed under: uncultured bacterium
Lineage: Bacteria
Description: partial 16S ribosomal RNA
Rfam family: Bacterial small subunit ribosomal RNA
Source: RNAcentral
AGUGAACGCUGGCGGUAGGCCUAACACAUGCAAGUCGAACGGCAGCACAGGAGAGCUUGCCCUCUGGGUGGCGAGUGGCGGACGGGUGAGGAAUACAUCGGAAUCUACUUUUUCGUGGGGGAUAACGUAGGGAAACUUACGCUAAUACCGCAUACGACCUACGGGUGAAAGCAGGGGACCUUCGGGCCUUGCGCGAUUGAAUGAGCCGAUGUCGGAUUAGCUAGUUGGCGGGGUAAAGGCCCACCAAGGCGACGAUCCGUAGCUGGUCUGAGAGGAUGAUCAGCCACACUGGAACUGAGACACGGUCCAGACUCCUACGGGAGGCAGCAGUGGGGAAUAUUGGACAAUGGGCGCAAGCCUGAUCCAGCCAUACCGCGUGGGUGAAGAAGGCCUUCGGGUUGUAAAGCCCUUUUGUUGGGAAAGAAAAAACUUUGGUUAACACCCAAAGUCUUGACGGUACCAGGAGAAUAAGCACCGGCUAACUCUGUGCCAGCAGCCGCGGUAA